RNAcentral lists this ribosomal RNA (253 nucleotides) under uncultured bacterium. RNAcentral's name for it is "partial 16S ribosomal RNA". It matches the Rfam family "Bacterial small subunit ribosomal RNA", at positions 524 to 776 of the family's 1533-position model. The record is from RNAcentral.
UACGUAGGGACCAAGCGUUGUCCGGAAUCAUUGGGCGUAAAGGGCGCGUAGGUGGUUUGAUAAGGGUGUGGUGAAAGUCCGGGGCUCAACCCCGGAUCUGCCGUGCCGACUGUCAAACUCGAGGACUGUAGAGGCAGACGGAAUUCCGGGUGUAGCGGUGGAAUGCGUAGAGAUCCGGAGGAAGACCGGUGGCGAAGGCGGUCUGCUGGGCAGUUUCUGACACUGAGGCGCGACAGCGUGGGGAGCAAACAGG